AUUGAACGCUGGCGGCAGGCCUAACACAUGCAAGUCGAGCGGAUGAAGGGAGCUUGCUCCUGGAUUCAGCGGCGGACGGGUGAGUAAUGCCUAGGAAUCUGCCUGGUAGUGGGGGAUAACGUCCGGAAACGGGCGCUAAUACCGCAUACGUCCUGAGGGAGAAAGUGGAGGAUCUUCGGACCUCACGCUAUCAGAUGAGCCUAGGUCGGAUUAGCUAGUUGGUGGGGUAAAGGCCUACCAAGGCGACGAUCCGUAACUGGUCUGAGAGGAUGAUCAGUCACACUGGAACUGAGACACGGUCCAGACUCCUACGGGAGGCAGCAGUGGGGAAUAUUGGACGAUGGGCGAAAGCCUGAUCCAGCCAUGCCGCGUGUGUGAAGAAGGUCUUCGGAUUGUAAAGCACUUUAAGUUGGGAGGAAGGGCAGUAAGUUAAUACCUUGCUGUUUUGACGUUACCAACAGAAUAAGCACCGGCUAACUUCGUG
RNAcentral lists this ribosomal RNA (484 nucleotides) under uncultured bacterium. RNAcentral describes it as "partial 16S ribosomal RNA". It matches the Rfam family "Bacterial small subunit ribosomal RNA", at positions 30 to 507 of the family's 1533-position model. The record is from RNAcentral.